UACGGGGGGGGCAAGCGUUGUUCGGAAUUACUGGGCGUAAAGGGUUCGUAGGUGGCUCGCUAAGUCAGACGUGAAAUCCCUCAGCUUAACUGGGGAACUGCGUCUGAGACUGGCAAGCUUGAGUGCAGGAGAGGAACGCGGAAUUCCAGGUGUAGCGGUGAAAUGCGUAGAUAUCUGGAGGAACACCGGUGGCGAAGGCGGCGUUCUGGGCAGUAACUGACGCUGAGGAGCGAAAGCGUGGGGAGCGAACAGG
This 253-nucleotide ribosomal RNA is filed under the name uncultured bacterium. RNAcentral's name for it is "partial 16S ribosomal RNA". It matches the Rfam family "Bacterial small subunit ribosomal RNA", at positions 524 to 776 of the family's 1533-position model. The record is from RNAcentral.